This is a long non-coding RNA of Neofelis nebulosa (Clouded leopard), 1101 nucleotides long. RefSeq lists it as uncharacterized. NCBI's taxonomy places the organism in Eukaryota, Metazoa, Chordata, Mammalia, Carnivora, Felidae. The record is from RefSeq and is a predicted model, not a curated record. The transcript is spliced from 3 exons.
CGGUCCUCUCCCUGUGCUUUAAUAAAAUCACCUUUUUGCACCAAAGACACGUUCAAGAAUUCUUUCUUGAGCGUCGGCUCCCGACUCCCCACCAUCUCCCCAAAACUUCAUCAAGAUGAACGUGGAAACUCAACACAAGCAAGUUGUUGCCUUGUCCACGACAAAUCUUUUCUAUUCCACAACCAUCCCCUACUUUGUCACCCCCUAGCUCGUUACCCUGCUGCACUGAUGCCAGCAUGGCUCACAUACGUUUUCCCAUCAACGGCCAUCUUUUUCUCCUUCCAGUAUGAAAGAUUCUUGGGGACAGUCCCUGUGUAUUCUGUGUACCCCCAGGACUUAGUACAUUGUCGACAUAGAGUGCGCGUGGCACUGAGUGUUUUUCAAUGAAUUCAUUCAUUGUUAUCAACGGAUUCCACCCUAUUUCGUCCUGUAUUGCCUACAUAACUAUGAAAUUCAGAUUCUUCGAAGAGGCUCUUGGUGUUAUAAGAUGCUUAGUAGAGGUGGUGAGUUUUAAGACAUUAUAUUGACACCACUAAAACCUCUUGGUGGAGAAACUCAAUGAGCCCGUUCUCUGGCAUGCUGGCAAAACAAAAAACUGACCCUCAGUAUUCUUUCCCCAGGUUAGGCAUCAGCAAAUUAAUGAGAGGAGAGAGGAGGCCCCUGCUCUUGGGCACCCGCAGGAACUUACUCCAGCUCCGGACACACCGUAAACACUUUCAUCUAACGGAAGAUAAGUUGUGAAAUCAGAUUUCUGAACCACAAGACACUUGUGUAAAAACGGCAUUCCAUGCCAGGCCUGAAAUGUUCCAAAGCUCAGUUCGGUGACAAUUUGAGGUUAACUUCAAUUCCUCUCAUUUUACUAAGCCAACUUUUUCAAACCUUUUCUGUAAAGGCCAGACAGUAAAUAUUUUAGGCUUUGCAGGCCAUAUACGGUCUCUGUCACAUAUUCUCUGUUUCUUUCUCUUCUUUUCUCUUUUACAGCCCUUUAAGCACACGAAAAUCAUUCUGAACUCAUAGGUUGUAUCAAGACAGACCAUACACAGGAUUUGAUCCAUGGGCCAUAAAUAAUAAAUAUAAAUAAAAGCAGAUGGUAUAUGAACA